UCGUGGAGUGAUCUGUCUGCUUAAUUGCGUUUCACUAAGGGCUUAUUAAAUUUACGUGUGUUGUAAGUACUUUGACCCCUAUAUUGAAAUAUAUAUAGUGCGCGUCUUAGUUUGCUUUACUCACACAAUUAAGUCCUGAAAGCAACGAACGUGACCGCAGCCUCUUGUUGCUUCUAAUUUUUAACGCGUAUUUUAAUAUUUAUAUUAUUUUACGUAUAAAGAAGCUUUGAAACUAGAGGGACCGCUGUAA
This 250-nucleotide ribosomal RNA is filed under the name uncultured eukaryote. Its description in RNAcentral is "partial 18S ribosomal RNA". The record is from RNAcentral.